AAUCAUCAAUCAAACAGUUAACAUAUAUAUUAACUUAAAACUAAAAGUUAAUAGAACAAAAAUAAAAUAAAUAAGAGUAUAAACGAAUAAAUGAACGGUUGUUGGUAGUUGUUGGAAGAUUUUAAAUUAUGUAAGGAGUGUGUUUUGGUUGAUGUUGAAGUGUUGAAAGUGAAUAGCUAUAGCAGUUUUGUUUUGUGGGAAUAGUUUGUGGUUGAUAUCAAAUUGUAGAAAGAAAAGAUAGUAUGAUGAAAGUUUUGUGAACAGUAACGGAUGAAUUUACAUUUUCAGUGGGAGAAAACGAUUUCUCUUUCAUUUCUAUUUUUUAAUUUGAGAGUCGAGAAAGAGAUGUGGACAAGCGCCGCUGAGGUGUUGGUCUGUGUUUUGGUCUGAUUGUGGAU
This 398-nucleotide long non-coding RNA is filed under the name Lathyrus oleraceus (garden pea). RNAcentral describes it as "Pisum sativum (pea) long non-coding RNA (PSAT_LNC031186)". The record is from RNAcentral. Lineage: Eukaryota; Viridiplantae; Streptophyta; Magnoliopsida; Fabales; Fabaceae.